Non-coding RNA from Pelobates cultripes (western spadefoot toad), 243 nucleotides. The record is from the annotation of a GenBank genome assembly. Lineage: Eukaryota; Metazoa; Chordata; Amphibia; Anura; Pelobatidae.
UGGGGGCGGGUUCUCCUUGAGGUGCUUGUUUGGAGCGGUGCUGCAGUGUUCAAGGCAGAGGUGAGGGUACUGUUAAAUGCGCAGUGCCAGUGAAGGACAGGAGAGGGAAGGGAUGGACAGUAGGCAUGAAUCAAUAUCAGCUGACAGCUGCUGGUGAUCAAAAGAAUCAAGGUCCCUCCUGAGUUGAGGGGGGUUAGGCUGAGGUUGUUGGGUGAAGGGGUACAUGAGCGCAAACGAUAAGAG